CCCAGGUCAUGCUAACGUGCAAGCAGGUUUGGGGCCGCAGAGUCGCGCCUCCUACUCCUGGCGGGAGCCCCCGCAGCCGGGUGGGAGGGCGCAGCACGUGCCAAGCGUCCUGUGGCUGCAGCUGCCGCCGAGCGCAGGACCUGGCGCGGGAGCCGCCCACCUGGGCCCUCCAGGCGGCGGGGAUGGGGGAGCGGACUCGGGAGGAGGCCCCGGGGCAGCCUGCAAGCCCUGCGCGGCCCAGGACCCCUCGCCCCGCCUGCAGCCGGGCGCAGAGCAGGGGCCGCAUCUCAGGCGGGACGACCUGUCCCCCCACGAAGGAGGCCGCGCGGCACCCUCGCUGCUUGGGGCCCGAAUGUAGAUACACGGAAAGAACAUACGCCUGGAAGGCGGCAGGAACAAGGGUGUCCGUGAGAAAGGAGAGCACCGAUGUGCUCGAACCUGCACCGAGGCCUCUAAUUGCUCUCACAAAGUCGCUGAGCAGCUCAGUGAAAAAGACGUGA
Molecule: long non-coding RNA, 500 nt
Filed under: Vulpes vulpes (red fox)
Lineage: Eukaryota; Metazoa; Chordata; Mammalia; Carnivora; Canidae
Description: lncRNA (ENSVVUG00000001033.1)
Source: RNAcentral